CCUACGGGAGGCAGCAGUGAGGAAUAUUGGUCAAUGGACGCAAGUCUGAACCAGUCAUGCCGCGUGCAGGAAGACGGCUCUAUGAGUUGUAAACUGCUUUUGUACGAGGGUAAACGCAGAUACGCGUGUCUUUCUGAAAGUAUCGUACGAAUAAGGAUCGGCUAACUCCGUGCCAGCAGCCGCGGUAAUACGGAGGAUUCAAGCGUUAUCCGGAUUUAUUGGGUUUAAAGGGUGCGUAGGCGGUCGGAUAAGUUAGAGGUGAAAUCCCGAGGCUCAACUUCGGAAUUGCCUCUGAUACUGGUCGGCUAGAGAGUAGUUGCGGUAGGCGGAAUGUAUGGUGUAGCGGUGAAAUGCUUAGAGAUCAUACAGAACACCGAUUGCGAAGGCAGCUUACCAAGCUACUUCUGACGUUGAGGCACGAAAGCGGGGGGAGCAAACAGGAUUAGAUACCCCUGUAGUC
This 460-nucleotide ribosomal RNA is filed under the name uncultured bacterium. RNAcentral describes it as "partial 16S ribosomal RNA". It matches the Rfam family "Bacterial small subunit ribosomal RNA", at positions 338 to 795 of the family's 1533-position model. The record is from RNAcentral.